RNAcentral lists this ribosomal RNA (497 nucleotides) under uncultured bacterium. RNAcentral's name for it is "partial 16S ribosomal RNA". It matches the Rfam family "Bacterial small subunit ribosomal RNA", at positions 28 to 507 of the family's 1533-position model. The record is from RNAcentral.
GAUGAACGCUGGCGGCGUGCCUAAUACAUGCAAGUCGAGCGAACAGAUGAGGAGCUUGCUCCUCUGACGUUAGCGGCGGACGGGUGAGUAACACGUGGAUAACCUACCUAUAAGACUGGGAUAACUUCGGGAAACCGGAGCUAAUACCGGAUAAUAUAUUGAACCGCAUGGUUCAAUAGUGAAAGACGGUUUUGCUGUCACUUAUAGAUGGAUCCGCGCCGCAUUAGCUAGUUGGUAAGGUAACGGCUUACCAAGGCAACGAUGCGUAGCCGACCUGAGAGGGUGGUCGGCCACACUGGAAGUGAGACACGGUCCAGACUCCUACGGGAGGCAGCAGUAGGGAAUCUUCCGCAAUGGGCGAAAGCCUGACGGAGCAACGCCGCGUGAGUGAUGAAGGUCUUCGGAUCGUAAAACUAUGUUAUUAGGGAAGAACAAAUGUGUAAGUAACUAUGCACGUCUUGACGGUACCUAAUCAGAAAGCCACGGCUAACUACGUG